Molecule: ribosomal RNA, 243 nt
Filed under: Clostridioides difficile
Lineage: Bacteria; Bacillati; Bacillota; Clostridia; Peptostreptococcales; Peptostreptococcaceae
Description: partial 23S ribosomal RNA
Rfam family: Bacterial large subunit ribosomal RNA
Source: RNAcentral
UCAUUAAGUGAAUACAUAGCUUAAUGAGGGGAACUCAGGGAACUGAAACAUCUAAGUACCUGAAGGAAGAGAAAGAAAUUCGAUUCCGUAAGUAGCGGCGAGCGAACGCGGAUUAGCCCAAACCAAUAAAGUUGUCUUUAUUGGGGUUGCGGACAUAUCAUAACGAAGAGGUAUCGUAAUUGAAGAGGUUUGGAAAGACCCACCACAGAAGGUAAUAGUCCUGUAUGUUAAACGAGAAGACUU